CCAGACUCCUACGGGAGGCAGCAGUGAGGAAUAUUGGUCAAUGGGCGGGAGCCUGAACCAGCCAAGUCGCGUGAGGGAAGACGGUCCUAUGGAUUGUAAACCUCUUUUGUCGGGGAGCAAAAGACGCCACGCGUGGCGUUCCGAGAGUACCCGAAGAAAAAGCAUCGGCUAACUCCGUGCCUGCAGCCGCGGUAAUACGGAGGAUGCGAGCGUUAUCCGGAUUUAUUGGGUUUAAAGGGUGCGCAGGCGGAGGCACAAGUCAGGGGUAAAAUCGCGGGGCUCACCCCCGCUCCGCCGUUGAAACUGGCAGUCUCGAGUUGGAGAGAAGUAUGCGGAAUGCGCGGUGUAGCGGUGAAAUGCAUAGAUAUCGCGCAGAACUCCGAUUGCGAAGGCAGCAUGCCGGCUCCACACUGACGCUGAGGCACGAAAGCGUGGGUAUCGAACAGGAUUAGAUACCCGCGUACG
This 465-nucleotide ribosomal RNA is filed under the name uncultured bacterium. RNAcentral's name for it is "bacterial SSU rRNA". It matches the Rfam family "Bacterial small subunit ribosomal RNA", at positions 331 to 793 of the family's 1533-position model. The record is from RNAcentral.